GUUAUAUGGUCAAGUGAAGAAGCGCAUACGGUGGAUGCCUUGGCAGUCAGAGGCGAUGAAAGACGUGGUAGCCUGCGAAAAGCUUCGGGGAGUCGGCAAACAGACUUUGAUCCGGAGAUCUCUGAAUGGGGGAACCCACCUAGGAUAACCUAGGUAUCUUGUACUGAAUCCAUAGGUGCAAGAGGCGAACCAGGGGAACUGAAACAUCUAAGUACCCUGAGGAAAAGAAAUCAACCGAGAUUCCCUUAGUAGUGGCGAGCGAACGGGGAUUAGCCCUUAAGCUUCAUUGAUUUUAGCGGAACGCUCUGGAAAGUGCGGCCAUAGUGGGUGAUAGCCCCGUACGCGAAAGGAUCUUUGAAGUGAAAUCGAGUAGGACGGAGCACGAGAAACUUUGUCUGAACAUGGGGGGACCAUCCUCCAAGGCUAAAUACUACUGACUGACCGAUAGUGAACCAGUACCGUGAGGGAAAGGCGAAAAGAACCCCGGAGAGGGGAGUGAAAUAGAACCUGAAACCGUAUGCGUACAAGCAGUGGGAGCCUACUUGUUAGGUGACUGCGUACCUUUUGUAUAAUGGGUCAGCGACUUAUAUUCAGUGGCAAGCUUAACCGUAUAGGGUAGGCGUAGCGAAAGCGAGUCUUAAUAGGGCGUUUAGUCGCUGGGUAUAGACCCGAAACCGGGCGAUCUAUCCAUGAGCAGGUUGAAGGUUAGGUAACACUGACUGGAGGACCGAACCCACUCCCGUUGAAAAGGUAGGGGAUGACUUGUGGAUCGGAGUGAAAGGCUAAUCAAGCUCGGAGAUAGCUGGUUCUCCUCGAAAGCUAUUUAGGUAGCGCCUCAUGUAUCACUCUGGGGGGUAGAGCACUGUUUCGGCUAGGGGGUCAUCCCGACUUACCAAACCGAUGCAAACUCCGAAUACCCAGAAGUGCCGAGCAUGGGAGACACACGGCGGGUGCUAACGUCCGUCGUGAAAAGGGAAACAACCCAGACCGCCAGCUAAGGUCCCAAAGUUGUGGUUAAGUGGUAAACGAUGUGGGAAGGCUUAGACAGCUAGGAGGUUGGCUUAGAAGCAGCCAUCCUUUAAAGAAAGCGUAAUAGCUCACUAGUCGAGUCGGCCUGCGCGGAAGAUGUAACGGGGCUCAAACCACACACCGAAGCUGCGGGUGUCACGUAAGUGACGCGGUAGAGGAGCGUUCUGUAAGCCUGUGAAGGUGAGUUGAGAAGCUUGCUGGAGGUAUCAGAAGUGCGAAUGCUGACAUGAGUAACGACAAUGGGUGUGAAAAACACCCACGCCGAAAGACCAAGGGUUCCUGCGCAACGUUAAUCGACGCAGGGUUAGUCGGUUCCUAAGGCGAGGCUGAAAAGCGUAGUCGAUGGGAAACAGGUUAAUAUUCCUGUACUUCUGGUUACUGCGAUGGAGGGACGGAGAAGGCUAGGCCAGCUUGGCGUUGGUUGUCCAAGUUUAAGGUGGUAGGCUGAAAUCUUAGGUAAAUCCGGGGUUUCAAGGCCGAGAGCUGAUGACGAGUCGUCUUUUAGAUGACGAAGUGGUUGAUGCCAUGCUUCCAAGAAAAGCUUCUAAGCUUCAGGUAACCAGGAACCGUACCCCAAACCGACACAGGUGGUCGGGUAGAGAAUACCAAGGCGCUUGAGAGAACUCGGGUGAAGGAACUAGGCAAAAUGGCACCGUAACUUCGGGAGAAGGUGCGCCGGCUAGGGUGAAGGAUUUACUCCGUAAGCUCUGGCUGGUCGAAGAUACCAGGCCGCUGCGACUGUUUAUUAAAAACACAGCACUCUGCAAACACGAAAGUGGACGUAUAGGGUGUGACGCCUGCCCGGUGCCGGAAGGUUAAUUGAUGGGGUUAGCGCAAGCGAAGCUCUUGAUCGAAGCCCCGGUAAACGGCGGCCGUAACUAUAACGGUCCUAAGGUAGCGAAAUUCCUUGUCGGGUAAGUUCCGACCUGCACGAAUGGCGUAACGAUGGCGGCGCUGUCUCCACCCGAGACUCAGUGAAAUUGAAAUCGCUGUGAAGAUGCAGUGUAUCCGCGGCUAGACGGAAAGACCCCGUGAACCUUUACUGUAGCUUUGCACUGGACUUUGAGCCUGCUUGUGUAGGAUAGGUGGGAGGCUUUGAAGCGUGGACGCCAGUUCGCGUGGAGCCAUCCUUGAAAUACCACCCUGGCAUGCUUGAGGUUCUAACUCUGGUCCGUGAUCCGGAUCGAGGACAGUGUAUGGUGGGCAGUUUGACUGGGGCGGUCUCCUCCUAAAGAGUAACGGAGGAGUACGAAGGUGCGCUCAGACCGGUCGGAAAUCGGUCGCAGAGUAUAAAGGCAAAAGCGCGCUUGACUGCGAGACAGACACGUCGAGCAGGUACGAAAGUAGGUCUUAGUGAUCCGGUGGUUCUGUAUGGAAGGGCCAUCGCUCAACGGAUAAAAGGUACUCCGGGGAUAACAGGCUGAUACCGCCCAAGAGUUCAUAUCGACGGCGGUGUUUGGCACCUCGAUGUCGGCUCAUCACAUCCUGGGGCUGAAGCCGGUCCCAAGGGUAUGGCUGUUCGCCAGUUUGAGAUUUGAGAGGGGCUGCUCCUAGUACGAGAGGACCGGAGUGGACGAACCUCUGGUGUUCCGGUUGUCACGCCAGUGGCAUUGCCGGGUAGCUAUGUUCGGAAAAGAUAACCGCUGAAAGCAUCUAAGCGGGAAACUUGCCUCAAGAUGAGAUCUCACUGGGAACUUGAUUCCCCUGAAGGGCCGUCGAAGACUACGACGUUGAUAGGCUGGGUGUGUAAGCGUUGUGAGGCGUUGAGCUAACCAGUACUAAUUGCCCGUGAGGCUUGACCAUAUAACACCCAAACA
Molecule: ribosomal RNA, 2846 nt
Filed under: Pseudomonas aeruginosa
Lineage: Bacteria; Pseudomonadati; Pseudomonadota; Gammaproteobacteria; Pseudomonadales; Pseudomonadaceae
Description: 23S ribosomal RNA
Rfam family: Bacterial large subunit ribosomal RNA
Source: RNAcentral